Molecule: long non-coding RNA, 240 nt
Organism: Cannabis sativa
Lineage: Eukaryota; Viridiplantae; Streptophyta; Magnoliopsida; Rosales; Cannabaceae
Exons: 2
Source: RefSeq, a predicted model, not a curated record
CAGGAAAGAAUGGCAGUGACUGAACCGGAAUGAGCUGAAAACUUGUGCUGUGUUAAAUUGUUUGUAACUUGUUUUGCUGACCCCAAAAGUUGGAAGAUUGGUGUGAGAACAAUGGUGCCAUCAUCACUUCCUAAAAGGUGUACUACUUAGCCUCAUAAUGCCUGGCAAGCCUUGACUUGGUAGUUUUUGUACACAAAACAAAUAUAAGUAAGAUGAUCUGAAAGGUUUUUGGAUUCUCAA